AUUGAACGCUGGCGGCAUGCCUUACACAUGCAAGUCGAACGGUAACAGGUCUUCGGAUGCUGACGAGUGGCGAACGGGUGAGUAAUACAUCGGAACGUGCCUAGUAGUGGGGGAUAACUACUCGAAAGAGUGGCUAACACCGCAUGAGAUCUACGGAUGAAAGCAGGGGAUCGCAAGACCUUGUGCUACUAGAGCGGCCGAUGGCAGAUUAGGUAGUUGGUGGGAUAAAAGCUUACCAAGCCGACGAUCUGUAGCUGGUCUGAGAGGACGAUCAGCCACACUGGGACUGAGACACGGCCCAGACUCCUACGGGAGGCAGCAGUGGGGAAUUUUGGACAGUGGGCGCAAGCCUGAUCCAGCAAUGCCGCGUGCAGGAUGAAGGCCUUCGGGUUGUAAACUGCUUUUGUACGGAACGAAAAGCCCUGGGUUAAUACCCUGGGGUCAUGACGGUACCGUAAGAAUAAGCACCGGCUAACUACGUGCCAGCCGCCGCCGUAA
This 498-nucleotide ribosomal RNA is filed under the name uncultured bacterium. Its description in RNAcentral is "partial 16S ribosomal RNA". It matches the Rfam family "Bacterial small subunit ribosomal RNA", at positions 30 to 523 of the family's 1533-position model. The record is from RNAcentral.